Molecule: unclassified non-coding RNA, 333 nt
Filed under: soil metagenome
Description: partial contains 5.8S ribosomal RNA, internal transcribed spacer 2, and large subunit ribosomal RNA
Rfam family: 5.8S ribosomal RNA (bases 1-120)
Source: RNAcentral
GAUGAAGAACGUAGCGAAAUGCGAUACGUAAUGUGAAUUGCAGAAUUCAGUGAAUCAUCGAAUCUUUGAACGCACAUUGCGCCCGCCAGCACUCUGGCGGGCAUGCCUGUUCGAGCGUCAUUUCAACCAUCAAGCCCCAGGCUUGCGUUGGAGCCCUCGGCUGCCGCAGCCUCCUAAAAGCAGUGGCGGGCUCGCUAUCACACCGAGUGCAGUAGAUUACUCUUCGCUCAGGGCGUGCAGCGGGUUCCGGCCGUGAAACCCCCUACUUUUAAAGGUUGACCUCGGAUCAGGUAGGAAUACCCGCUGAACUUAAGCAUAUCAAUAAGCGGAGGA